Molecule: ribosomal RNA, 305 nt
Filed under: uncultured bacterium
Lineage: Bacteria
Description: bacterial SSU rRNA
Rfam family: Bacterial small subunit ribosomal RNA
Source: RNAcentral
GCCUACGGGGCGCAGCAGUGAGGAAUAUUGGUCAAUGGUCGGGAGACUGAACCAGCCAAGCCGCGUGAGGGAUGAAGGUACAGAGUAUCGUAAACCUCUUUUGUCAGGGAACAAAGGCGGGGACGUGUCCCCGGAUGAGUGUACCUGAAGAAAAAGCAUCGGCUAACUCCGUGCCAGCAGCCGCGGUAAUACGGAGGAUGCGAGCGUUAUCCGGGUUUAUUGGGUUUAAAGGGUGCGCAGGCGGUCUGUUAAGUCAGCGGUCGACGUCCGGGGCUCAACCCCGGCCCGCCGUUGAAACUGGCAGU